Molecule: transfer RNA, 85 nt
Organism: Rhodotorula sp. JG-1b
Lineage: Eukaryota; Fungi; Basidiomycota; Microbotryomycetes; Sporidiobolales; Sporidiobolaceae
Rfam family: tRNA
About the family: Transfer RNA (tRNA) molecules are approximately 80 nucleotides in length.
Source: Rfam
CCGAACUUAGCUCAGCUGGAAGAGCGUGGGACUGUAAUUGGCUGUAAAUAUCCCGAGGCCGGCGGUUCGAUCCCGCCAGUUCGGA